Molecule: ribosomal RNA, 117 nt
Organism: Danio rerio (zebrafish)
Lineage: Eukaryota; Metazoa; Chordata; Actinopteri; Cypriniformes; Danionidae
Source: Ensembl
CCCUUAAGACAUAUCACCCUGCAGCCCAAGACCGGUUACUCACUGAAGCAAAGCUGGGCUGAGCCUGGUCAGUAUCUGGGUGGGAAACCACAUGGGAACACUAGGUUGCUGUUGGAA